GGAGUUGUGGCUCAGUGGUAGAGUGCUUGCCUGGCUUGUGUGAGGAGGUACUGGGUUCUGAGUUCAAUCCUCAGAACCACA
This 81-nucleotide transfer RNA is filed under the name Marmota monax (woodchuck). RNAcentral describes it as "tRNA.Ala". The record is from RNAcentral. Lineage: Eukaryota; Metazoa; Chordata; Mammalia; Rodentia; Sciuridae.